UGUCAAUCGAACCUUAAUAUAAGUUAAGCAACUAUAACAUGUUAUUAACCACGAGCUUUAAUAUAACUUAAGCAACGAUAAUUCGGGCGGUGUAUACGUGUGCAUGUAUAACAUGUUGUUAAUGUUAUUACCCAUUCCUGCGUAAUGCAACCGAGUCUCCCUCUCUUCCACUAAUUACUGUGCUCUCUCUCUCUACAUCUUGAUUCUUUCUCUCUGGCCAAGGAUUAGAUCCUCUAUUUUCUCUCCCUAUAUCUCUUCCUCUCUCUCUAACCCAUAAACGCACGUUAUCUUUCAAUAGUGGUGACUGGUGAGGUCUGCUUUGCUCUGCUUCCCUUUAAAUCUUUGUCCAUAUUAUUCAUUUUCACUUUGAUUCCGCAUACUCACUCUUACACCAUAAAUUUCAUUUCUCACUUUUUUUUCUCUCUCACCGUCCUUUAAAUUUCUCAUUUUCCUUCAAACGGAUUUGGUUUAUUAUUUCGUAAAGAUGAAAAUUAGGGUUUGUGAGUUGUGUAAUGCAGAUGCUGCAGUUUAUUGUCGUUCAGAUUCUGCGUUUCUUUGCUGGGCCUGCGAUUCUAAGGUCCACCAGGCUAAUUUUCUCGUAGCUCGCCAUGUACGCCGGCCAAUUUGCUCCGAAUGCAAGGGGAUAAUCGGAGAAAGCAUACCCGGCCUUGGUUUUCAGCCGAUGUGUCGUUGUUCGCCGGCUUCGGCGGGUAAUGAUCUAGUUUUGCUGUCGUCUUCGGAGUCUUCGAUUUGCGUUUCGAGCACUACAACGAN
This 774-nucleotide long non-coding RNA is filed under the name Olea europaea subsp. europaea. The record is from RNAcentral. Lineage: Eukaryota; Viridiplantae; Streptophyta; Magnoliopsida; Lamiales; Oleaceae.